RNAcentral lists this transfer RNA (64 nucleotides) under Cavia porcellus (domestic guinea pig). It matches the Rfam family "tRNA", at positions 1 to 63 of the family's 71-position model. From Rfam's summary of the family: Transfer RNA (tRNA) molecules are approximately 80 nucleotides in length. Their secondary structure includes four short double-helical elements and three loops (D, anti-codon, and T loops). Lineage: Eukaryota; Metazoa; Chordata; Mammalia; Rodentia; Caviidae. The record is from Rfam by way of RNAcentral.
GGGGAUUUAGCUCAGCGGCAAAAGCGCCUGCCUUGCAAGCAGGAAGUCCUGAGUUCGAUCCCUG